RNAcentral lists this ribosomal RNA (2907 nucleotides) under Salmonella enterica subsp. enterica serovar Gallinarum. RNAcentral describes it as "23S ribosomal RNA". It matches the Rfam family "Bacterial large subunit ribosomal RNA". The record is from RNAcentral. RNAcentral also lists the same sequence under 4 other names. Lineage: Bacteria; Pseudomonadati; Pseudomonadota; Gammaproteobacteria; Enterobacterales; Enterobacteriaceae.
GGUUAAGCGACUAAGCGUACACGGUGGAUGCCCUGGCAGUCAGAGGCGAUGAAGGGCGUGCUAAUCUGCGAUAAGCGCCGGUAAGGUGAUAUGAACCGUUAUAACCGGCGAUACCCGAAUGGGGAAACCCAGUGUGACUCGUCACACUAUCAUUAACUGAAUCCAUAGGUUAAUGAGGCGAACCGGGGGAACUGAAACAUCUAAGUACCCCGAGGAAAAGAAAUCAACCGAGAUUCCCCCAGUAGCGGCGAGCGAACGGGGAGGAGCCCAGAGCCUGAAUCAGCAUGUGUGUUAGUGGAAGCGUCUGGAAAGGCGCGCGAUACAGGGUGACAGCCCCGUACACAAAAGCGCAUGUGCUGUGAGCUCGAUGAGUAGGGCGGGACACGUGGUAUCCUGUCUGAAUAUGGGGGGACCAUCCUCCAAGGCUAAAUACUCCUGACUGACCGAUAGUGAACCAGUACCGUGAGGGAAAGGCGAAAAGAACCCCGGCGAGGGGAGUGAAAAAGAACCUGAAACCGUGUACGUACAAGCAGUGGGAGCACAGGUUUACCUGUGUGACUGCGUACCUUUUGUAUAAUGGGUCAGCGACUUAUAUUCUGUAGCAAGGUUAACCGAAUAGGGGAGCCGGAGGGAAACCGAGUCUUAAUUGGGCGUUAAGUUGCAGGGUAUAGACCCGAAACCCGGUGAUCUAGCCAUGGGCAGGUUGAAGGUUGGGUAACACUAACUGGAGGACCGAACCGACUAAUGUUGAAAAAUUAGCGGAUGACCUGUGGCUGGGGGUGAAAGGCCAAUCAAACCGGGAGAUAGCUGGUUCUCCCCGAAAGCUAUUUAGGUAGCGCCUCGUGAAUUCAUCUCCGGGGGUAGAGCACUGUUUCGGCUAGGGGGCCAUCCCGGCUUACCAACCCGAUGCAAACUGCGAAUACCGGAGAAUGUUAUCACGGGAGACACACGGCGGGUGCUAACGUCCGUCGUGAAGAGGGAAACAACCCAGACCGCCAGCUAAGGUCCCAAAGUCAUGGUUAAGUGGGAAACGAUGUGGGAAGGCCCAGACAGCCAGGAUGUUGGCUUAGAAGCAGCCAUCAUUUAAAGAAAGCGUAAUAGCUCACUGGUCGAGUCGGCCUGCGCGGAAGAUGUAACGGGGCUAAACCAUGCACCGAAGCUGCGGCAGCGACACUGUGUGUUGUUGGGUAGGGGAGCGUUCUGUAAGCCUGUGAAGGUGUGUCGUGAGGCAUGCUGGAGGUAUCAGAAGUGCGAAUGCUGACAUAAGUAACGAUAAAGCGGGUGAAAAGCCCGCUCGCCGGAAGACCAAGGGUUCCUGUCCAACGUUAAUCGGGGCAGGGUGAGUCGACCCCUAAGGCGAGGCCGAAAGGCGUAGUCGAUGGGAAACGGGUUAAUAUUCCCGUACUUGGUGUUACUGCGAAGGGGGGACGGAGAAGGCUAUGUUGGCCGGGCGACGGUUGUCCCGGUUUAAGCGUGUAGGUGUGUGUUCCAGGUAAAUCCGGUUCACUUUAACACUGAGGCGUGACGACGAGGCACUACGGUGCUGAAGCAACAAAUGCCCUGCUUCCAGGAAAAGCCUCUAAGCAUCAGGUAACAUCAAAUCGUACCCCAAACCGACACAGGUGGUCAGGUAGAGAAUACCAAGGCGCUUGAGAGAACUCGGGUGAAGGAACUAGGCAAAAUGGUGCCGUAACUUCGGGAGAAGGCACGCUGACACGUAGGUGAAGUGAUUUACUCAUGGAGCUGAAGUCAGUCGAAGAUACCAGCUGGCUGCAACUGUUUAUUAAAAACACAGCACUGUGCAAACACGAAAGUGGACGUAUACGGUGUGACGCCUGCCCGGUGCCGGAAGGUUAAUUGAUGGGGUCAGCGCAAGCGAAGCUCCUGAUCGAAGCCCCGGUAAACGGCGGCCGUAACUAUAACGGUCCUAAGGUAGCGAAAUUCCUUGUCGGGUAAGUUCCGACCUGCACGAAUGGCGUAAUGAUGGCCAGGCUGUCUCCACCCGAGACUCAGUGAAAUUGAACUCGCUGUGAAGAUGCAGUGUACCCGCGGCAAGACGGAAAGACCCCGUGAACCUUUACUAUAGCUUGACACUGAACAUUGAGCCUUGAUGUGUAGGAUAGGUGGGAGGCUUUGAAGUGUGGACGCCAGUCUGCAUGGAGCCGACCUUGAAAUACCACCCUUUAAUGUUUGAUGUUCUAACGUGGACCCGUUACCCGGGUUGCGGACAGUGUCUGGUGGGUAGUUUGACUGGGGCGGUCUCCUCCUAAAGAGUAACGGAGGAGCACGAAGGUUGGCUAAUCCUGGUCGGACAUCAGGAGGUUAGUGCAAUGGCAUAAGCCAGCUUGACUGCGAGCGUGACGGCGCGAGCAGGUGCGAAAGCAGGUCAUAGUGAUCCGGUGGUUCUGAAUGGAAGGGCCAUCGCUCAACGGAUAAAAGGUACUCCGGGGAUAACAGGCUGAUACCGCCCAAGAGUUCAUAUCGACGGCGGUGUUUGGCACCUCGAUGUCGGCUCAUCACAUCCUGGGGCUGAAGUAGGUCCCAAGGGUAUGGCUGUUCGCCAUUUAAAGUGGUACGCGAGCUGGGUUUAGAACGUCGUGAGACAGUUCGGUCCCUAUCUGCCGUGGGCGCUGGAGAACUGAGGGGGGCUGCUCCUAGUACGAGAGGACCGGAGUGGACGCAUCACUGGUGUUCGGGUUGUCAUGCCAAUGGCACUGCCCGGUAGCUAAAUGCGGAAGAGAUAAGUGCUGAAAGCAUCUAAGCACGAAACUUGCCCCGAGAUGAGUUCUCCCUGAGACUUAGAGUCUCCUGAAGGAACGUUGAAGACGACGACGUUGAUAGGCCGGGUGUGUAAGCGCAGCGAUGCGUUGAGCUAACCGGUACUAAUGAACCGUGAGGCUUAACCUU